CGCAGUCACACAUUAGGGUUAGUAUUAAACUUUGUUUAGGUGUACCAUAAUUAACUUGGCUAGUUGUUUGAAGUCUAUGGAAGAAAUAGUUUUAUGCAAAAUUUUAAAAAAAAAAUUCCAGUUUGAUCAGGAAGAGGGUUCCGUGGUGCUGAGAGCCAGGAAGGUGGGAGAACCUCAGGUAGAGACAUCGAGUACCUUGAUUGUCUUACACUUGAGCAGCCCAGGUUGACCUUGUGAUGUGAAUUGACCUGAUCAGACUUUAUUAAAAACG
Molecule: long non-coding RNA, 271 nt
Filed under: Mus musculus (house mouse)
Lineage: Eukaryota; Metazoa; Chordata; Mammalia; Rodentia; Muridae
Description: long non-coding RNA chr11:3308801-3309072
Source: RNAcentral